UCGAGCGAAUGGAUUAAGAGCUUGGCUCUUAUGAAGAUAGCGGCGGACGGGUGAGAAGCGCAAGGGUAACCUGCCCAUAAGAGUGGGAUAACUCCGGGAAACCGGGGCUAAUACCGGAUAACAUUUUGAACCGCAUGGUUCGAAAUUGAAAGGCGGCUUCGGCUGUCACUUAUGGAUGGACCCGCGUCGCAUUAGCUAGUUGGUGAGGUAACGGCUCACCAAGGCAACGAUGCCUAGCCGACCUGAGAGGGUGAUCGGCCACACUGGGACUGAGACACGGCCCAGACUCCUACGGGAGGCAGCAGUAGGGAAUCUUCUGCAAUGGACAAAAGUCUGACGGAGCAACGCCGCGUGAGUGAUGAAGGCUUUCGGGUCGUAAAACUCUGUUGUUAGGGAAGAACAAGUGCUAGUUGAAUAAGUUGGCACCUUGACGUGCGCUAACCAGAAAGCCACGGCUAACUACGUGCCAGCACCCGCGGUAAUACGUAGGUGGCAAGCGUUAUCCGGAAUUAUUGGGGCGUAAAGCGCGCGCAGGUGGUUUCUUAAGUCUGAUGUGAAAGCCCACGGCUCAACCGUGGAGGGUCAUUGGAACUGGGAGACUUGAGUGCAGAAAGGAAAGUGGAAUUGCAUGUGUAGCGGUGAAUGCGUAGAGAUAUGUGUGGACCCAGUGGCGAAGGCGAACUUUCUGGGUCUGUUACUGACACUGAGGGCGCGAAAAGCGUGGGGAGCAAACAGGGA
This 738-nucleotide ribosomal RNA is filed under the name Bacillus cereus group sp. RNAcentral's name for it is "bacterial SSU rRNA". It matches the Rfam family "Bacterial small subunit ribosomal RNA", at positions 62 to 778 of the family's 1533-position model. The record is from RNAcentral. Lineage: Bacteria; Bacillati; Bacillota; Bacilli; Caryophanales; Bacillaceae.